UACGGGGGGAGCAAGCGUUGUUCGGAUUUACUGGGCGUAGAGGGCGCGUAGGCGGUAGCACAAGUCAGUUGUGAAAUCUCCGGGCUUAACUCGGAAAGGUCAACUGAUACUGUGCGACUAGAGUGCAGAAGGGGCAACUGGAAUUCUCGGUGUAGCGGUGAAAUGCGUAGAUAUCGAGAGGAACACCUGCGGCGAAGGCGGGUUGCUGGGCUGACACUGACGCUGAGGCGCGAAAGCCAGGGGAGCGAACGGG
This 253-nucleotide ribosomal RNA is filed under the name uncultured bacterium. Its description in RNAcentral is "partial 16S ribosomal RNA". It matches the Rfam family "Bacterial small subunit ribosomal RNA", at positions 524 to 776 of the family's 1533-position model. The record is from RNAcentral.